This 253-nucleotide ribosomal RNA is filed under the name uncultured bacterium. RNAcentral describes it as "partial 16S ribosomal RNA". It matches the Rfam family "Bacterial small subunit ribosomal RNA", at positions 524 to 776 of the family's 1533-position model. The record is from RNAcentral.
UACAGGGGGUGCAAACGUUGCUCGGAAUUAUUGGGCGUAAAGCGCGCGUAGGCGGCUACUUAAGUCGGAUGUGAAAGCCCCUGGCUCAACUGGGGAAGUGCACCCGAAACUGAGUGGCUUGAGUACUAAAGAGGGUCGCGGAAUUCCCGGUGUAGAGGUGAAAUUCGUAGAUAUCGGGAGGAACACCGGUGGCGAAGGCGGCGACCUGGGUAGAUACUGACGCUGAGGCGCGAAAGCGUGGGUAGCAAACAGG